GAAUUAUGGAGAAUAAUACAUUUGGGAAAAAAGAAUGAUCCUCAACCAUUUCUAAACAAAUGAAGAUAUUUGAAUGAUUGUAUCACAGCAGCAGUGCAAGUGAUCUGUGGCUAUUAUAAAGUGGUUGCCCUCCUUUACACAAGAUCCAAACCAAUCUCAAGAAUUAAGCAAAAGCACACAUAUGCUGUCUGAACAUGUUAGGAGAACUUGGAAUGCAGGCAACCUGCGGCCAGUAAGAUUCUAAAGGGAAGGAGUCAACAUUCAUCUUGAUGCUUUCAGUAUCGGCUGUCAUGAAGUGGCAACUAACAAGCUGGCACGCUCCUGGGGGUUGUAGGGGAUGUAAAAGCGUCUGCACAGUACCGAAGUUGAGCAACCGGUUCCAGUGUCUUUAAGCAAGGACGUUUGGAAAGGAUCUGAUGUGCAUUGCUGUUGCCUUUUGGCAGCACAUACUGUGAGCAGUGUCCUAGGAGGUGAUGCCGAAACGCCCAGCCCUGACGCUAAAGAGGAAUUGAUUUCUCAAAGUGCAGAGUCAACAGGUGCCGUAAGAGAACUGCUGACAGGAACAGGCCCUGGGACCGGGAAUUUGGGAACCUGCUACCAUUAACAGAGCUCUGCUGGGAGCGUCAUCUGCUCCCAACGUCCGCUGUUGCAAAAGGGAACAGCCAGGGGGCGCAAUUCUGCGAUUCUGAGCUAAACACCCCAAGCGCAGUAGGUACAGCCAGGGUGGGUGGCAGGGAAACCACAGGGAGGUUAAUGAGGGCUUGGACUGUGCUCUUAAUUUAUUCCUGAAUUCUCAAUACUUAGGCCACUGCCUUGGAACACGACAGCAUCUUAAUUUUUUUUUUUCAAGAAAGCAAAAAGAAUGAACAAAUGAAUGAAUUGAGACCAGACAAAAAUGCUUACUAUUUGAAUUUUCGCACCAUCUACCAGCCCAUACCCCAGGUUUUUGCAUGCUUAACUUCUUUUCUUCCUGCUAUAGUGAAUUUGAUUUCUGCCUUUUCUUUCUCCACUCUCUCCACCCACUGAGGGGAUUUCUGUUGUUGAUGAACUUGUUCUUUGGACUUUUUUGGUGGAAAAUAGUAAGAGAGGGAUGAAAUCGAGAGAUUAGCUAGUAGGUGAGAAGGGGAGGGAGCUUGAUUUAUUGGUGCUUCGCUGGUACUUGUCUUAAGUGCAAUUCCCUCCACUCUUCAUGGACUGUCCCCACCUCCCUAUCAGAAUCCUCUGGGAACUCAAUGCUGAUUCCUUGGCCAAGCCUAGAUCUCUCUGGGAGUUGCCCCACCUCUUGUCAUAUAUUUGCAUAGUAAUAAAUGAUGAGUGCUGGAGUAAGAGCUUAAAAGCAUAGAGAUAAUGUUGUGCUACAGGAUAGAAGCCUUUUGAGGGUCAGUUUGAGGAGAGAGCCACUGGAGCCAUGGUGGGGUGGGAGUAGUGGGAAGUGGCUUGAAGAAGUGUUAAUGUAUGUUAGGGUCCAUUUAAGGUUCUUAGAGAAAUUCCAAAAACAGUAGAAUUCCCCCUGGCUGUGCUUCUUGAACACGCGGCUGUUAGGAUACUGAGCCGUAUUAACCUCUGGGUUUACAAGCCUUACACUUCUUACAUUUCUUCUUUACAUUUCUUGCACAGUAAGAAAUGAAGGAACAAAAGGAAUAAAUGAAUGAUAAUGUAUCUGGUCGUCUCUUACAUUCUAGUGAGUCACCCUCGACAUAAGAAGAAAAGUGGAGACUGUUAGAUUUAUUUCCUGAGAGAGAGAAUAAUUUUCUAGUAGGUCACUGAACCCCGAGGAAGCCUAGAGCGCAAGAAACUUUGGGAGAGAUUCAAGCCAGUGGCUACAAUCUUGAAUUACAACCCAGCCCUUCCUUCCAACAAAGGGUAUGCAUAGGGAAAGAGAUAUAUCAAACUUUUUAGCCAAACUUUUAAAGAAAAGCUGAACAAUAGAAUGGCUAAAGUGAAAAAAUACAAAAGGACACUUAAAAAUAUAUAUUUUUAAAUUAUGUCUUGAAACUUCCCUGCCAGGA
This 2009-nucleotide long non-coding RNA is filed under the name Homo sapiens (human). RNAcentral describes it as "HSALNT0009765". The record is from RNAcentral. Lineage: Eukaryota; Metazoa; Chordata; Mammalia; Primates; Hominidae.